CCUGAGAAACCCAAAAGAUCGAAUGGGGAGAUUCAUCGUCAGCUCAUUUUGUAUAUAUAUAAGUUAUGAUGUGGGUUACUCUUGUAGUAUUGCCUGUACAUUCUUAUAUAUUUAGUUGCAAGAUGUUGUCGGCGUGCACUUCUCCCCUAGUAGGACGUCGCGACCCGUUGAGUGUCGGUCUACGGCCCAAAUGGGAGCCUUCAAUGUUUUAAUAUACAUUAAAGACCUUUGGUGUUUCCUGACCGACUACUCGGCGGUACUCGUACGGUAUUAAGCCGCAUAUUUUGUGCGUUCAUACCCGUCGCAAGCGAGGUUAAUUUUUGGCAGUGCGGACCUAGUGCCGUCGCUAAAACUAACCAGCUGUUGGUUGUACGGUGUUCUUGAACUGGCUAAAAAUUUUACCGGUCGGCGAUGCUACUGCUUUGGGUACUUUCAGGACCCGUCUUGAAACACGGACCAAGGAGUCUAACAUGUGCGCGAGUCAUUGGGAUUUUUAAAAAAUUAAACCUAAAGGCGUAAUGAAAGUAAAGGUCGUCCUUGCGUCGACCGAGGGAGGAUGAGUUGUAUUAAGAUACAGCUUCGCACUCCCGGGGCGUCUCAUUCUCAUUGUGAGAAGAGGCGCACCUAG
This 628-nucleotide ribosomal RNA is filed under the name Mimipodoryctes sp. Jo709. RNAcentral's name for it is "eukaryotic LSU rRNA". It matches the Rfam family "Eukaryotic large subunit ribosomal RNA", at positions 386 to 798 of the family's 3401-position model. The record is from RNAcentral. Lineage: Eukaryota; Metazoa; Arthropoda; Insecta; Hymenoptera; Braconidae.